RNAcentral lists this ribosomal RNA (460 nucleotides) under uncultured bacterium. Its description in RNAcentral is "partial 16S ribosomal RNA". It matches the Rfam family "Bacterial small subunit ribosomal RNA", at positions 338 to 795 of the family's 1533-position model. The record is from RNAcentral.
CCUACGGGUGACAGCAGUGAGGAAUAUUGGUCAAUGGACGAGAGUCUGAACCAGCCAAGUAGCGUGAAGGAUGACUGCCCUAUGGGUUGUAAACUUCUUUUAUAUGGGAAUAAAACGUUCCACGUGUGGGAUUUUGUAUGUACCAUAUGAAUAAGGAUCGGCUAACUCCGUGCCAGCAGCCGCGGUAAUACGGAGGAUCCGAGCGUUAUCCGGAUUUAUUGGGUUUAAAGGGAGCGUAGGUGGAUUGUUAAGUCAGUUGUGAAAGUUUGCGGCUCAACCGUAAAAUUGCAGUUGAAACUGGCAGUCUUGAGUACAGUAGAGGUGAGCGGAAUUCGUGGUGUAGCGGUGAAAUGCUUAGAUAUCACGAAGAACUCCGAUUGCGAAGGCAGUUCACUGGACUGCAACUGACACUGAGGCUCGAAAGUGUGGGUAUCAAACAGGAUUAGAUACCCUUGUAGUC